This 69-nucleotide transfer RNA is filed under the name Lachnaia cylindrica. RNAcentral describes it as "tRNA-Gln". The record is from RNAcentral. Lineage: Eukaryota; Metazoa; Arthropoda; Insecta; Coleoptera; Chrysomelidae.
UACGUUUAAGUAUAUAUUGUACGGAAGUUUUUGAUGCUUUCAGGGAUAGUUAAAAGCUAUCAAACGUAG